Molecule: unclassified non-coding RNA, 145 nt
Filed under: Flavobacterium chilense
Lineage: Bacteria; Pseudomonadati; Bacteroidota; Flavobacteriia; Flavobacteriales; Flavobacteriaceae
Description: Flavo-1 RNA
Source: RNAcentral
GACCAGCCCUGAUAGUAAUGAAAAUGCUUUGAAAAGAAAUUGUAUUUUUUCCUGACAAAACAAAGCGACCAGCGGAAGCUCUUGUUAUGGCUUUGGAAAAAAGCAAUUUAUUGAAAAAGUAUUGCAAUGAAUAGCAGGAAUAUGC